Molecule: transfer RNA, 77 nt
Filed under: Chloroflexota bacterium
Lineage: Bacteria; Bacillati; Chloroflexota
Description: Chloroflexi bacterium (hot springs metagenome) tRNA-Pro
Rfam family: tRNA
About the family: Transfer RNA (tRNA) molecules are approximately 80 nucleotides in length. Their secondary structure includes four short double-helical elements and three loops (D, anti-codon, and T loops).
Source: RNAcentral
CGGGGAGUAGCGCAGCUGGUUAGCGCGCAGCGUUCGGGACGCUGAGGUCGGAGGUUCGAGUCCUCUCUCCCCGACCA